Long non-coding RNA from Nicotiana tabacum (common tobacco), 656 nucleotides. RefSeq lists it as uncharacterized. Lineage: Eukaryota; Viridiplantae; Streptophyta; Magnoliopsida; Solanales; Solanaceae. The record is from RefSeq and is a predicted model, not a curated record.
UUCAUUUUCUCAGUUUUUCCUACAUUAUCCAGAGAAAGUCACCUGAAAAUAAAAUUGGAAAAAGUUUAUGCGACAAGGAUCAUUUUUGUCCUCUGUUAUAAUUUCGGUUCACUAUUACCUUCGUCAUUACAAAACUGAUACAAAAUACCUCUCCUCCGCUAGAGCACUCCACUGUGGCCAACAACAUCCACACGGUCUGAUAUUUCACUGAGAUGAACACCACGUGGCAUGCCACCUCAUCGCCACUUCAAAUUAUAUUCUACCUCUCCCCAACUCCUUUUACUGAUGCUUACGGGAUUCUCCUAGAAGUGUAAGAUGGAUCGCCGGAGCCCCAACGUUCAAGAUACUAGGCUUUAGGAGGCCAUUUCGCGAGGCAAAGGCAUAUUGGAGUAAAGAAUUACACGGUUUGAGAUCCAGGUACUUCCAGAAAUGGCGGCUGCUAGAUAUCAGAGUUUCAUCUGUUGGAGACUAUCAAGGUAGUUUCUUGGCGUCCACAAACCUUGACUCUCUUUUUAUCAGUCAGGUUUUAUUAUUAGAUGCUCAUUUACUUAGUGAAAUCGGGUUUUGGGAGUGUAUUUAUAUCUGAAUUUGUGGGAUUUUCACUUUAAUUUAAAUUUUAUGUUUUUCAAACUUAAAAGAAAUUGUGGUUUAACGAA